RNAcentral lists this ribosomal RNA (394 nucleotides) under uncultured bacterium. Its description in RNAcentral is "partial 16S ribosomal RNA". It matches the Rfam family "Bacterial small subunit ribosomal RNA", at positions 523 to 918 of the family's 1533-position model. The record is from RNAcentral.
AUACGUAGGGAGCGAGCGUUGUCCGGAAUUACUGGGUGUAAAGGGAGCGUAGGCGGGAGUGCAAGUCAGAUGUGAAAUACAUGGGCUCAACCCAUGGGCUGCAUUUGAAACUGCAUUUCUUGAGUGAAGUAGAGGUAAGCGGAAUUCCUGGUGUAGCGGUGAAAUGCGUAGAUAUCAGGAGGAACACCGGCGGCGAAGGCGGCUUACUGGGCUUUUACUGACGCUGGCUCGAAAGCGUGGGGAGCAAACAGGAUUAGAUACCCUGGUAGUCCACGCUGUAAACGAUGAUUACUAGGUGUGGGGGGACUGACCCCUUCCGUGCCGCAGUUAACACAAUAAGUAAUCCACCUGGGGAGUACGGCCGCAAGGUUGAAACUCAAAUGAAUUGACGGGG